This 253-nucleotide ribosomal RNA is filed under the name uncultured bacterium. RNAcentral's name for it is "partial 16S ribosomal RNA". It matches the Rfam family "Bacterial small subunit ribosomal RNA", at positions 524 to 776 of the family's 1533-position model. The record is from RNAcentral.
GACAGAGGGUGCAAGCGUUGUUCGGAAUUAUUGGGCGUAAAGCGCGCGUAGGCGGCCGACUAAGUCGCAUGUGAAAGCCCAGGGCUCAACCCUGGAAGUGCAUGCGAUACUGGUUGGCUUGAGUCUUGGAGAGGGUGGUGGAAUUCCUGGUGUAGAGGUGAAAUUCGUAGAUAUCAGGAGGAACACCGGUGGCGAAGGCGACCACCUGGACAAGUACUGACGCUGAGGUGCGAAAGCGUGGGGAGCAAACAGG